CCGGUUUAAACUCAGAUCAUGUAAAAUAUUAAAGGUCGAACAGACCUAAAUUUUUAGCUUCUACACCAAAACUUAAUUUUAAUCCAACAUCGAGGUCGCAAACUUCUUUUUCGAUUUGAACUCUUUAAAGAAAUUACGCUGUUAUCCCUAAGGUAAUUUAAUCUUAUAAUCAUAAAUAAUGGAUCAUAAAAUCAUAUAUUAAUGUUUUAAUAAAAAAAAAGUUUAUUAAAUUUUUCUAUCACCCCAAUAAAAUAAAUUUAAUUAUAAAAAAUUAUAAAAUUCUAAAAAUUUUAAAUAAUUAAAUUUAUAAAACUCUAUAGGGUCUUCUCGUCUUUUAAAAUUAUUUAAGCUUUUUAACUUAAAAAUAAAAUUCUAAUAAAUUUAAUUUGAGACAGUAUUUUUCUCGUUCAACCAUUCAUUCCAGCUUUCAAUUAAAAAACUAAUUAUUAUGCUACCUUCGCACGGUCAAAGUACCGCGGCCAUUUAAAAUUCAGUGGGCAGGUCAGACUUUAAAUUAAAAUCAAAAAGACAUGUUUUUAAUAAACAGGCG
Molecule: ribosomal RNA, 550 nt
Filed under: Oiceoptoma subrufum
Lineage: Eukaryota; Metazoa; Arthropoda; Insecta; Coleoptera; Silphidae
Description: partial 16S ribosomal RNA
Source: RNAcentral